This 239-nucleotide ribosomal RNA is filed under the name uncultured bacterium. Its description in RNAcentral is "partial 16S ribosomal RNA". It matches the Rfam family "Bacterial small subunit ribosomal RNA", at positions 118 to 353 of the family's 1533-position model. The record is from RNAcentral.
UGAGCAAUCUGCCCUUCUCUUUGGAAUAAGCGUUGGAAACGACGUCUAAUGCCGAAUAUGACCUCCUUUCGCACGAUCGGAGGUGGAAAGCUCCGGCGGAGAAGGAUGAGCUCGCGGCCUAUCAGCUAGUUGGUGUGGGUAAUGGCCCACCAAGGCGACGACGGGUAGCCGGCCUGGAGAGGGUGACCGGCCACACUGGGACUGAGACACGGCCCAGACCUCCGUACGGGGAGGCAGCG